GCCGUGUCUCAGGCCUGCAGCUGAUCCCCUCAGCAGAUUCUACUCUGACAUGGGAUUCAGGAACAAGGAGAUCCUGCUGAUCUGAGCCCAGAAUCAGCAGAUUGUUUUCUUCUGAAUCGGCCCGAGUCACAGCAGCGUCUCUUCAAAUGAUUUUUUCCUCAGAA
Molecule: long non-coding RNA, 164 nt
Organism: Myripristis murdjan (pinecone soldierfish)
Lineage: Eukaryota; Metazoa; Chordata; Actinopteri; Holocentriformes; Holocentridae
Exons: 3
Source: RefSeq, a predicted model, not a curated record